GCGCAUGCGCUGCUAUACUGCAGUCGAGCGGACGAUUCGAAGCUUGCUUUUGGAUCGUUAGCGGCGGACGGGUGAGUAACACGUGGGCAACCUGCCCUGUAGACGGGGAUAACCCCGAAAAAUCGGUGCUAAUACCGGAUAACACGAAAGGUCGCAUGGUCUUUCUUUGAAAGGCGGUCCAAGCUGUCUUUACAGGAUGGGCCCGCGGCGCAUUAUCUAGUUGGUGAGGUAACGGCUCACCAAGGCGACGAUGCGUAGCCGACCUGAGAGGGUGAUCGGCCACACUGGGACUGAGACACGGCCCAAACUCCUACGGGAGGCAGCAGUAGGGAAUCUUCCGCAAUGGACGAAAGUCUGACGGAGCAACGCCGCGUGAGCGAAGAAGGCCUUCGGGUCGUAAAGCUCUGUUGUUAGGGAAGAACAAGUACCGCAGUCACUGGCGGUACCUUGACGGUACCUAACAAGGAAGCCACGGCUAACUACGUGCCAGCAGCCGCGGUAAUACGUAGGUGGCAAGCGUUGUCCGGAAUUAUUGGGCGUAAAGCGCGCGCAGGCGGUUCCUUAAGUCUGAUGUGAAAGCCCCCGGCUCAACCGUGGAGGGUCAUUGGAAACUGGGGGACUUGAGUGCAAAAAAGGAGAGCGGAAUUCCACGUGUAGCGGUGAAAUGCGUAGAGAUGUGGAGGAACACCAGUGGCGAAGGCGGCUCUCUGGUCUGUAACUGACGCUGAGGCGCGAAAGCGUGGGGAGCAAACAGGUUUAAAUACCCUGGUAGUCCAC
RNAcentral lists this ribosomal RNA (777 nucleotides) under Anoxybacillus sp. RNAcentral's name for it is "bacterial SSU rRNA". It matches the Rfam family "Bacterial small subunit ribosomal RNA", at positions 39 to 798 of the family's 1533-position model. Lineage: Bacteria; Bacillati; Bacillota; Bacilli; Caryophanales; Anoxybacillaceae. The record is from RNAcentral.